AUUGAACGCUGGCGGCAGGCCUAACACAUGCAAGUCGAACGGUAACAGGAAGCAGCUUGCUGCUUUGCUGACGAGUGGCGGACGGGUGAGUAAUGUCUGGGAAACUUCCCGAUGGAGGGGGAUAACUACUGGAAACGGUAGCUAAUACCGCAUACCGUCGCAAGACCAAAGAGGGGGACCUUAGGGCCUCUUGCCAUCGGAUGUGCCCAGAUGGGAUUAGCUAGUAGGUGGGGUAACGGCUCACCUAGGCGACGAACCCUAGCUGGUCGGAGAGGAUGACCAGCGACACUGGAACUGAGACACGGUCCAGACUCCGACGGGAGGCAGCAGUGGGGAAUAUUGCACAAUGGGCGCAAGCCUGAUGCAGCCAUGCCGCGUGUAUGAAGAAGGCCUUCGGGUUGUAAAGUACUUUCAGCGGGGAGGAAGGGAGUAAAGUUAAUACCUUUGCUCAUUGACGUUACCCGCAGAAGAAGCGCCGGCUAACUCCGUG
This 490-nucleotide ribosomal RNA is filed under the name uncultured bacterium. RNAcentral describes it as "partial 16S ribosomal RNA". It matches the Rfam family "Bacterial small subunit ribosomal RNA", at positions 30 to 507 of the family's 1533-position model. The record is from RNAcentral.